Cucurbita moschata (crookneck pumpkin) is the source of this 2086-nucleotide RNA transcript. It is a transcript of the gene named protein MODIFIER OF SNC1 11-like, with no coding region annotated. The transcript has 6 exons. The record is from RefSeq and is a predicted model, not a curated record. Lineage: Eukaryota; Viridiplantae; Streptophyta; Magnoliopsida; Cucurbitales; Cucurbitaceae.
ACUGAAAAAACGAAUAGAAACCUGUGCUCCCUCCUUCACGCGGCAAUUCCCCUUGUUGCGUUCGUGGUUCGCAAGCAGCCUCCGAUUAGGUUUCGGUUCUCAAAUCUGCUCCUCUAAUGGCGACGGUAGCAUCUGCUGGAAUCAAUGACAUUAGUAAUAGCAAGAAUCCGCUUGGAGAAAACCCUAGUCAAACCCUAGACCCGACGAUUUCUUCCUCGGCCCAGCCUCCUGUCUCUGUUCCGCUGUCGUCAACUGAUGGCGGGUCUUCCAAGGAAGGGGAUGAAUCUAAGGGCUCCGAUAAGACGUCGGUUGAAGGUGAUGGCGAACCUGUUUCUGAUGUCCAGAGGAAAAUGCGCCGCGCUGAGCGUUUUGGGAUUUCGGUGCAAUUGUCUGAAGAAGAAAAACGUAAUUCUCGAGCAGAACGGUUUGGUAUGGGCACCACAACUAAUGGAUUGGGAGCAUCAAAUAAGUCAGAGGAGGUGAAGAGAAAGGCUAGAGCUGAGAGAUUUGGGCUUCCUGCAUCUGUGGCCACUGAUGAUGAGGCAAAGAAGAAAGCUCGACUUGGUAGGUUUUCUUCAACAUCAAAGCCAGACUCCCAGGAGGAAGAAAAGAGGAAAGCAAGGGCAAUCAGGUUUUCUAAUCCAACAUCAAACUCCCUCACACAAGUGGAUGGGAAGGGAAACAUUGAGACGAUUGCAGAUAUUGCAGGCAAGGCUGGAGGUGGUGCCUGAAAAGAACAUUCCCUGUUGAUGGCAAGAUAGCUUUUGCUUGUAAUUUUCUUCUGUUGGUCUAAUAGCUGGUUAUAAUUCCCCGUAAUGGCUUCCAUACCCAUGUUCAUUCCUUUAUAUUAUUAUCUAGUUCAAAAGUCUUCCAUUCUGAGGGCAGAAUCAAUACUGCAAGGUGCUUUGCUCCAUGUUGCUCUGAGACGAGGUUCCCUAGAUUCAGUUGUCAGGUUAUUAAUUCUCUGGUUAGGUGUUAUAGUAAUAGAAAAUACCUCCCUAGGUCAAGCCUAUCUUACAGUUUGUUAAGAAUAUCAGAAAUCUCUGAAUUUUUUAUCCCUCCAAUGUUCUGGUUAUCAUCUUCAGUUUAUAUCUCCCUUGUGAUGGCAAGUUGGAUGUUCAUGAUACCAUUUGAACGGCAGUGCUAGGUUUCCAUGUGCAUUGUUUCCAUCUGAUACUCACUGGUUGAAAUUUACUAAUUUUGUCGAAUUCGCCUUUGGGAUUAGAAAGCUAACAGUUUCUUGCUUUACUUUGAGUUAAUAUCAUCAGGUUUUUAGUUUUAUAGUUAUAAUUUAGUUUGGAUUUUAGGUUGUUUCUUUUUAAUGGUAGGUUUUUCUUUUUGCUGACUGUAAUAAUGUAAGAUUAAUGGCCAAGUCUCAAUGGUAGGAAACUCGCACGUAUCUUUUGACUUUUCUUUUUCAGAAGCAGAUCAAGAGUCUGAGUGCAGCUAGUUAUUAUCCAAUCAUUUACGAUUGAGGUUUGGUUUCUUUGUAUGAUGCCACCACAUCUCAUCUCAUGGCAUCAGUGAUAAUAACUCAUCAUGGAAAUGACUUCUACACUUUUUAGAUGCCUAGUUUUAGUAUGACCUGAAGAAUAGUUCAAUUAGAAUGGUCAUAUGUUGAAUCUUAUUUAGAAAUGCCGUUCAAAAUGUCAUCAUGAGAUAACAGCUCCAGCUUGUGUGAGAAUAAACUGAAGAUAAGUCUUGGGAGGGGAAGUAAUUAUCUAUUCCCUUGGUAAGUUGUCGUGUGGGAGAAGCUGAAUUCCCUCUUCUAACUUGGAAGUUUCUGAUAUUCUUGCUUGGUGUAAUAUAGGAUGGACCGAGUUUUUGGAGGUAUUUGUUGUGGCCCUCUUAGAAGUCUCUGCAUGUAUUGAGGCCUGUAGCUGAGAAUGGAUUGUGUACUCUAAAAAUAGGUGUCUCUGUCAAGUUUCUGUUGUUUCUUCCUUCGUUUCCUUUUAUCUUUAUUUGCAUAGCUAGUCAGCAGCUACGUGUAUUUAGUUUCUUUUGGAUUUUUGGUUGGAUGUAAUGGUAUGGAAUGGCCGCACACAUUUAUCGAGGGAAUCAAUCUUUUGAUCAAAAGUUCUUUUUA